Molecule: regulatory RNA element, 114 nt
Organism: Amphibacillus xylanus NBRC 15112
Lineage: Bacteria; Bacillati; Bacillota; Bacilli; Caryophanales; Bacillaceae
Rfam family: PyrR binding site
About the family: This family represents the PyrR binding site and terminator structure. This RNA structure is found upstream of a variety of genes involved in pyrimidine biosynthesis and transport. The alignment also includes a portion of the antiterminator structure.
Source: Rfam
AUAACCUUUAAAACAAGUCCAGAGAGGCUUGCAAGGUUGUACGGGGGGAUAUUUGUGUGCUUAUCUGCAUACAAAUAUGGGUCUCUUUGCAACCGUGCAAAGAGACUUUUUUAU